RNAcentral lists this ribosomal RNA (253 nucleotides) under uncultured bacterium. RNAcentral's name for it is "partial 16S ribosomal RNA". It matches the Rfam family "Bacterial small subunit ribosomal RNA", at positions 524 to 776 of the family's 1533-position model. The record is from RNAcentral.
UACGUAGGCAGCAAACGUUGUUCGGAGUUACUGGGCGUAAAGGGCGCGUAGGCGGCUUAUCAAGUCAGGCGUGAAAUUCCCGGGCUCAACCUGGGGGCUGCGCUUGAUACUGAUUGGCUUGAAUGCGGGAGAGGAUAGUGGAAUUCCCAGUGUAGAGGUGAAAUUCGUAGAUAUUGGGAAGAACACCGGUGGCGAAGGCGGCUAUCUGGCCCGUAAUUGACGCUGAGGCGCGAAAGCGUGGGGAGCAAACAGG